Molecule: long non-coding RNA, 533 nt
Filed under: Homo sapiens (human)
Lineage: Eukaryota; Metazoa; Chordata; Mammalia; Primates; Hominidae
Description: LOXL1 antisense RNA 1
Source: RNAcentral
AGUGCUCCCUCAGUCCCUGGAGUUCCCAGCCAAGCCACAGACCUGCCUCUGAGGAAGGGAAUCGAGCAGGGAGUAGGAGGGGACCUCUGGGGACUCGGGCCUGGAGCUCCUGCCUGCCUGGAUGAAGAGGAGGUCAAGACUUUGUCCCCCACUCCGCAAGAUACCCUCUCUGUUCCGGAGCGGUGGGUCCCUCCCCUGUUAGGACCUUGUCUCCCUCAGGACUGGACCUGGAUCCUGGGCCUGCAGUCAGAUUGCCAGUUUCACUUAGAGGUGGAAAUGUCAACCCACUGGUUGGAAUGGGAAGGUGAGACAGGAUUUCACCAUGUUAGCCAGGAUGGUCUUGAUCUCCUGACCUCAUGAUCUGCCCACCUCGGCCUCCCAAAGUGCUGGGCUUACAGGCGUGAGCCACCGUGCCCGGCCAAAAAUAACUUUUAAAAACAUGAGUAUAGCAUACACACACACAAAAGUCCACAAAUCCUAGGUGUACCACUUGAUGAAUGAUCCCAACGUGAGCACACCUCUGGAUUACCACC